This 301-nucleotide ribosomal RNA is filed under the name uncultured bacterium. RNAcentral's name for it is "partial 16S ribosomal RNA". It matches the Rfam family "Bacterial small subunit ribosomal RNA", at positions 509 to 809 of the family's 1533-position model. The record is from RNAcentral.
CAGUCGCCGCGGUAAUACAGAGGGUGCAAGCGUUAAUCGGAUUUACUGGGCGUAAAGGGCGCGUAGGAGGUUAUGUAAGUGAGAUGUGAAAUCCCCGGGCUCAACCUGGGAACUGCAUCUUAUACUGCGUAGCUGGAGUGCAGUAGAGGGUAGUGGAAUUUCCGGUGUAGCGGUGAAAUGCGUAGAUAUCGGAAGGAACACCAGUGGCGAAGGCGGCUACCUGGACUGACACUGACACUGAGGCGCGAAAGCGUGGGGAGCAAACAGGAUUAGAUACCCCCGUAGUCCCUGUCUCUUAUAA